This 774-nucleotide ribosomal RNA is filed under the name uncultured fungus. Its description in RNAcentral is "eukaryotic LSU rRNA". It matches the Rfam family "Eukaryotic large subunit ribosomal RNA", at positions 24 to 664 of the family's 3401-position model. Lineage: Eukaryota; Fungi. The record is from RNAcentral.
CCCGCUGAACUUAAGCAUAUUAAUAAGCGGAGGAAAAGAAACUAACAAGGAUUCCCUUAGUAACGGCGAGUGAAGUGGGUAAAGCUCAACGUUAAAAUCAGCCCGGUUUUCCGGUACGAAUUGUAGUUUAAAGAGGCGUUUUCGGUGACACCCGGGUAUAAAUCCCUUGGAACAGGGUAUCAUGGAGGGUGAGAAUCCCGUCUUUGACCCGGAGGCAGUCGCCAAGUGAUACGUUCUCAAAGAGUCGAGUUGUUUGGGAAUGCAGCUCAAAAUGGGUGGUAAAUUUCAUCUAAAGCUAAAUAACGGCGAGAGACCGAUAGCGAACAAGUACCGUGAGGGAAAGAUGAAAAGAACUUUGAAAAGAGAGUUAAACAGUACGUGAAAUUGUUGAAAGGGAAACGUAUGAAACCAGUCAUGUGCGCAAGGAAUCAACUAUCUAAUCAGAGUGCCUUUUGGCUGGAGAGCGCAAGCCUCCGUCUUUGAGGCUACGAUUUUUCAGAUGUGUGCACUUUUUUGCGUGCAGGCCAACAUCGGUUCGGAUCGCCGGAUAAAGUACUUGUGUAUAUCGAUAUAACGAUAACCCGGUUAAUACGGCGGUCAGGACCGAGGAUCGCAGCUCGUGCCUUCAGACUUGGGAACCUCUUUGCUCGCAAGCGCUCAUGUCCCAGCUGCUUGCAGAUGGGAUGUGCUGUCGUGCGCGACUUUUGACGAGUUCCACAUAUCGAGCUUAGGAUGUUGGCGUAAUGGUUUUAUACGACCCGUCUUGAAACACGG